UGCUCUCUGUCACCUGCAUCGAUGCCU
Molecule: non-coding RNA, 27 nt
Filed under: Rattus norvegicus (Norway rat)
Lineage: Eukaryota; Metazoa; Chordata; Mammalia; Rodentia; Muridae
Source: RNAcentral